CAGCUCCAAUUGCGUAUAUUAAAGUUGUUGCAGUUAAAAAGCUCGUAGUUGGAUCUAGGGACGCGCAUUUCAAGCGCCCGUGCCAUCGGGUCAAACCGGUGGCUGCGUUGGCGUUGCGGGCUCGGUCCGUCGGUGCCCCACAAAGGGCUACUGGCGUGUCAACCGGCCCGCCCGUCCCCUCCUUCUGGAUUCCCGUUCCUGCUAUUGAGUUAGUGGGGACGUCACAGGGGGUCCAUCGUCGUGCGGCGUCMAAACCGUGCGGCGGUGGGUCCCUGGGGCCCAGAUCGUUUACCGUGAAAAAAUUAGAGUGUUCAAAGCAGGCAGAUCCAAUUUUCUGCCACCGAAUACAUUAGCAUGGGAUAAUGGAAUAGGACCCUGUCCUCCUAUUUUCAGUUGGUUUUGGCAGCGCGAGGACUAGGGUAAUGAUUAAUAGGGAUAGUUGGGGGCAUUAAUAUUUAAUUGUCAGAGGUGAAAUUCUUGGAUUUAUGAAAGAUUAACUUCUGCGAAAGCAUCUGCCAAGGAUGUUUUCAUUAAUCAAGAACGAAAGUUAGGGGAUCGAAGACGAUCAGAUACCGUCGUAGUCUUAACCAUAACCGAUGCCGACCAGCGAUUAGGAGACGUUGAAUACAAAACACCACCAUCGGCGCGGUCGUCCUUGGCGUCUCGGUCCUUCACGGGGCCSSGGCGC
This 688-nucleotide ribosomal RNA is filed under the name Acanthamoeba sp. AcL-BC29. RNAcentral describes it as "SSU rRNA". It matches the Rfam family "Eukaryotic small subunit ribosomal RNA", at positions 588 to 1088 of the family's 1831-position model. Lineage: Eukaryota; Discosea; Longamoebia; Acanthamoebidae. The record is from RNAcentral.